UUGCAACAAGAGUAGUGCAAAGCAGAAGC
Molecule: non-coding RNA, 29 nt
Filed under: Mus musculus (house mouse)
Lineage: Eukaryota; Metazoa; Chordata; Mammalia; Rodentia; Muridae
Source: RNAcentral